This 253-nucleotide ribosomal RNA is filed under the name uncultured bacterium. RNAcentral describes it as "partial 16S ribosomal RNA". It matches the Rfam family "Bacterial small subunit ribosomal RNA", at positions 524 to 776 of the family's 1533-position model. The record is from RNAcentral.
UACGGAGGGUGCAAGCGUUAUCCGGAUUCACUGGGUUUAAAGGGUGCGUAGGUGGAUCGGUAAGUCCGUGGUGAAAUCCCCGAGCUUAACUCGGGAACUGCCGUGGAUACUAUCGAUCUUGAAUACUGUGGAGGUAAGCGGAAUAUGUCAUGUAGCGGUGAAAUGCUUAGGUAUGACAUAGAACACCGAUAGCGAAGGCAGCUUGCUACACAGUUAUUGACACUGAGGCACGAAAGCGUGGGGAGCAAACAGG